Non-coding RNA from Musa acuminata subsp. malaccensis (wild Malaysian banana), 614 nucleotides. NCBI's taxonomy places the organism in Eukaryota, Viridiplantae, Streptophyta, Magnoliopsida, Zingiberales, Musaceae. The record is from RefSeq and is a predicted model, not a curated record.
GCGACGACUCGCACGUCGCCGAGCUCUUCGACAUCCACAGCCCGCCGCCGAUGAUCGGGACCGACGCCAGGAGCGUCAACAGGUUCAGGCACCCGAUCACCGAGUUGCUGAAGCGCUUUGAGGCGUCAGUGCGAUUGAUUGAUUGAUUCCAAAGAAUAAUGUUGCUGGCCCAGAGCAUCCAAGCUUUUCGAAAGCUGGGUUGAUGAGGGGGAAGAGCCUCCUGUCCUUUUUUUUUGGCCAUGGAUGGAUUGAUUGCUAAUGGAGAUUCCCCAUUAGUGCUCGACAGAAUAACUUGGUGUUGCUUUACGAGAGGAUAAGAGCAGAAGAGACCACAACCCUAAUCCACUCCGGAGAACUUGUUCUGAUGGUACUGUAGCGAAGGGGAGUGUAUCUGCAACCCCAUGGAACAAAGGAGAGCAUCUUGUACCAAGUUGAGGGGGGCCGAGAAGCUAGAGAACCAUCAAGAUGACUUCUAUCAGGUAGGCUCUAAUUCAUGGACAUAGGUACACUUUGCAUUCAUUUGCCUUUUAAUCCAACCAUCAACAUUAAAUAUUGUCACCACCAUAUGUUGAUCUUUGCUAUCUUGUAUUAUAAUAUACUUCCUGCUUAUAACA